UGGGGAAUUUUGGACAAUGGGCGAAAGCCUGAUCCAGCAAUGCCGCGUGUGUGAAGAAGGCCUUCGGGUUGUAAAGCACUUUUGUCCGGAAAGAAAUCCUUGGCUCUAAUACAGUCGGGGGAUGACGGUACCGGAAGAAUAAGCACCGGCUAACUACGUGCCAGCAGCCGCGGUAAUACGUAGGGUGCAAGCGUUAAUCGGAAUUACUGGGCGUAAAGCGUGCGCAGGCGGUUUGCUAAGACCGAUGUGAAAUCCCCGGGCUCAACCUGGGAACUGCAUUGGUGACUGGCAGGCUAGAGUAUGGCAGAGGGGGGUUAGAAUUCCACGUGUAGCAGUGAAAUGCGUAGAGAUGUGGAGGAAUACCGAUGGCGAAGGCAGCCCCCUGGGCCAAUACUGACGCUCAUGCACGAAAGCGUGGGGAGCAAACAGGAUUAGAUACCCUGGUAGUCCACGCCCUAAACGAUGUCAACUAGUUGUUGGGGAUUCAUUUCCUUAGUAACGUAGCUAACGCGUGAAGUUGACCGCCUGGGGAGUACGGUCGCAAGAUUAAAAGUCAAAUGAAUUGACGGGGUCAUAGCUGUUUCCU
Molecule: ribosomal RNA, 586 nt
Filed under: uncultured bacterium
Lineage: Bacteria
Description: partial 16S ribosomal RNA
Rfam family: Bacterial small subunit ribosomal RNA
Source: RNAcentral